CCUACGGGGUGCAGCAGUGGGGAAUAUUGCACAAUGGGCGAAAGCCUGAUGCAGCAACGCCGCGUGAAGGAAGAAGGCCUUCGGGUCGUAAACUUCUGUCCUUGGGGAAGAAGAACUGACGGUACCCAAGGAGGAAGCCCCGGCUAACUACGUGCCAGCAGCCGCGGUAAUACGUAGGGGGCAAGCGUUAUCCGGAAUUAUUGGGCGUAAAGAGUACGUAGGUGGCAACCUAAGCGCAGGGUUUAAGGCAAUGGCUCAACCAUUGUUCGCCCUGCGAACUGGGAUGCUUGAGUGCAGGAGAGGAAAGCGGAAUUCCUAGUGUAGCGGUGAAAUCCGUAGAUAUCUGGAGGAACAUCAGUGGCGAAGGCGACUAUCUGGAACAUAACUGACGCUGAGGAGCGAAAGCGUGGGUAGCAAACAGGAUUAGAUACCCUUGUAGUC
Molecule: ribosomal RNA, 441 nt
Filed under: uncultured bacterium
Lineage: Bacteria
Description: partial 16S ribosomal RNA
Rfam family: Bacterial small subunit ribosomal RNA
Source: RNAcentral